Molecule: long non-coding RNA, 714 nt
Organism: Macrobrachium nipponense
Lineage: Eukaryota; Metazoa; Arthropoda; Malacostraca; Decapoda; Palaemonidae
Exons: 3
Source: RefSeq, a predicted model, not a curated record
CAGUAAGGUUUUUACAUAACAGUAGUACAUAUUACAUACGUACAUAACUUUUUUUUACAGGAAUUUCCAACCAAGUUUGAUUAUGUACAUAUGUACAUGUUAUAAACCACUGUACGUAUGGUUACUGUAUGUAACUUACUAAACAUACAUAACAUGACUUAACUUUGAUACUUUUUUGGUACAUUCCAGAAAACCAGGACCCCCUCCAUGAUGCAGGCUAUGGGGCCACAUAAAACUUUGUCCAGGGUUACUACAUAACAUAGAACGACAACUGUAAACUAUGUACUACUGUACUAAAGAACCCCCUGAAUGAUGUAGGCUAUGGGGCCACAUAAGACUUUGUCCAUCCAGGGUUACAUUGAAAGACAACUUUAAACUAAAGAGCUACCAGACUGGGAUUUUAGUGUAUCAAGGAUCUAACAAAGUGUGCAAUGCAUGUGUAUACGUAUACAGUGACAGUGUUUAGUGUAUACCCAUAAGGAUUAAGUGUAGUGUACAUUGUGCUUUUUAGUGUCACAAGAGUUUAAUAAAGAAUUAUACCUUCAAGAACCAUCCUUUGCCAUUGGAAUAACCACACUACACAUCAUGCAAUCUACUUGCAUGUCACACAGGUAAGGUCUCUAACUUUUUCUUAGUUUAAGGCAUAUUUCCAAGUGUCGUUCCGGCUUACGACGAUUUUCGGCUUACGACGCGCCUCAAGAACGGAACCCCCGU